Molecule: ribosomal RNA, 449 nt
Filed under: uncultured Rhodomicrobium sp.
Lineage: Bacteria; Pseudomonadati; Pseudomonadota; Alphaproteobacteria; Hyphomicrobiales; Hyphomicrobiaceae
Description: bacterial SSU rRNA
Rfam family: Bacterial small subunit ribosomal RNA
Source: RNAcentral
AGAGUUUGAUCAUGGCUCAGAACGAACGCUGGCGGCAUGCCUAACACAUGCAAGUCGAACGCCUGUAGCAAUACAGGAGUGGCGCACGGGUGAAUAACGCGUGGGAACCUGCCCAAUGGUUCGGGAUAACUGCGGGAAACUGCAGCUAAUACCGGAUAAGCCCUGAGGGGGAAAGAAUUUCGCCGAUGGAGGGGCCCGCGUUGGAUUAGCUAGUUGGUGAGGUAACGGCUCACCAAGGCUACGAUCCAUAGCUGGUCUGAGAGGACGAUCAGCCACACUGGGACUGAGACACGGCCCAGACUCCUACGGGAGGCAGCAGUGGGGAAUAUUGGACAAUGGGGGCAACCCUGAUCCAGCAAUGCCGCGUGAGUGAUGAAGGCCUUCGGGUUGUAAAGCUCUUUUGGCGGGGACGAUGAUGACGGUACCCGCAGAAUAGCCCACGAUCCCCC